CUUCUAUUCUCACGUUCUUCUUUCUUCUGUUUCGUUUCUCACAACUAAAAUACCUCACGUACUACUUCUUGACUUAUUCCACUGCAAAUUAAUUUUUCUUCCACUGCAAAUUAAUUUUAAUUAAUAUUUAUUUUAUGUUAAAUAGAUUAUUGUUGUUUUUACUUCAAUUCUAAUUAUGUUUGUUUUUACUUUGCAGUCACAUAACAUGAAGGCAAAGUUAUAUUGUCUUCCUUCGCUCUUAAUUGAGGUCUGUAUUCUUGUUUAGUUUCUUAGCAUUAUUAAUUAUUUAUAGAUUUAGCAAUUUUAUUAGUUAACGGUUGAUUCUUUUUCCCUUUCGUAUUUAAUAUUGAAUGUAGAAUUUUUAAAGCCCAAUUGAGAUAAAACUGAAACAACAAGUGAGGAAACAAACCCCUCAAUCCAAAAAGGAUUAAAAAAAGUGAAAUUCUUAACUUAUCCACAUAAAAAGGAAGCUUAAACUUUAACCUAAAGCGAGCAAAACAAAGCAGAAAGAUCAAACGAAGGAAAAGAAAAUAUGGAAGUAGUAAAAACAACAAAAAAGACCUGAAUUAAAAAAAAAAAAAAAAAGUUUUGUUAAUGGGGGAAUGGCAGCCAAAGAGGAAGUGAGGAGGGAUUUUCAGAGGUUGAAGAAGACAGGACACAGGCGGAAAUAAAUA
This is a long non-coding RNA of Lycium ferocissimum, 674 nucleotides long. RefSeq lists it as uncharacterized. The record is from RefSeq and is a predicted model, not a curated record. NCBI's taxonomy places the organism in Eukaryota, Viridiplantae, Streptophyta, Magnoliopsida, Solanales, Solanaceae. The transcript is spliced from 2 exons.